RNAcentral lists this ribosomal RNA (647 nucleotides) under Bacillus cereus. RNAcentral's name for it is "bacterial SSU rRNA". It matches the Rfam family "Bacterial small subunit ribosomal RNA", at positions 564 to 1211 of the family's 1533-position model. Lineage: Bacteria; Bacillati; Bacillota; Bacilli; Caryophanales; Bacillaceae. The record is from RNAcentral.
AGCGCGCGCAGGUGGUUUCUUAAGUCUGAUGUGAAAGCCCACGCUAUUAAAGUGGAGGGUCAUUGGAAACUGGGAGACUUGAGUGCCUUAAAGGAAAGUGGAAUUCCAUGUGUAGCGGUGAAAUGCGUAGAGAUAUGGAGGAACACCAGUGGCGAAGGCGACUUUCUGGUCUGUAACUGACACUGAGGCGCGAAAGCGUGGGGAGCAAACAGGAUUAGAUACCCUGGUAGUCCACGCCGUAAACGAUGAGUGCUAAGUGUUAGAGGGUUUCCGCCCUUUAGUGCUGAAGUUAACGCAUUAAGCACUCCGCCUGGGGAGUACGGCCGCAAGGCUGAAACUCAAAGGAAUUGACGGGGGCCCGCACAAGCGGUGGAGCAUGUGGUUUAAUUCGAAUUUUCGCGAAGAACCUUACCAGGUCUUGACAUCCUCUGAAGACCCUAGAGAUAGGGCUUCUCCUUCGGGAGCAGAGUGACAGGUGGUGCAUGGUUGUCGUCAGCUCGUGUCGUGAGAUGUUGGGUUAAGUCCCGCAACGAGCGCAACCCUUGAUCUUAGUUGCCAUCAUUAAGUUGGGCACUCUAAGGUGACUGCCGGUGACAAACCGGAGGAAGGUGGGGAUGACGUCAAAUCAUCAUGCCCCUUAUGACCUG